Molecule: long non-coding RNA, 4490 nt
Filed under: Prunus dulcis (almond)
Lineage: Eukaryota; Viridiplantae; Streptophyta; Magnoliopsida; Rosales; Rosaceae
Description: sRNA ncRNA
Source: RNAcentral
AUUGUAACACCCGCUUGGUUGAGGUCGAAGAAUUGACAGAGCGAAUCGGAACAAGCGCGACCAUCUCUCAAACCCUAGACCUACCCUUCCCUACCCCAUCACUGUAACAUGGAGCUCGGUCCUCUCCCUCAUUCGACGUAUUGUUCUUCAUUCUUCGUCUUCUUCAUCAACAGAAUCCCAAACCUUAACCCUAAUCCGAAGAUGUAGAAGACGAAGAAUCUGCUGGCGAAUUCGUUCAUCGUCGAAUCUGAUGGCCGAUUCGUUCGUCGUCGAAUCUGCUCGCCGAUUCGUUCGUCGUCGAAUCUGCUCGCCGAUUCGUUCGUCGUCGAAUCUGCUCGCCGAUUCGUUCGUCGUCUUCGCACCAUCGGAUGAGCUUCGGCUCCGAAGAGACCUUGAUUCGUCUCACAUUAGGUUUUGAGCUUCCGCAAGUCUCUUGCUAUCUUACGUGCACUCGUCAGGUUGGCCCUACAUCUUUCUAACCUCAUUACUUGCAUUUAUUUUAGUGCUCUUUGAAUCCACUUUUGAGAUCUAGUUGCAUUUCAUUUUAGCGAUCUUUCUAUUUUUACUGUGCGUUUGGAUUUUUCUUUUUUUAUUUCUUGGGAUUUGCAUUUUGGAUGCAAAUCAUAUGCCAAUACAAUACGUUGAGAGACUUUAAAGAUAGUUGUUGCCUGAAUUUAAGCAGCACGCCAUUUGUAGGUGGUUGUUGAACAUCUUCUGUUGGAAUUGAAAAUUAAGGCGAUGUAGGUUUGUCUAUUAUGAGCUGAAUUGCUUUCUAUGUAUGCCUAUCUUUAUGGCAACAGCUUAGAAACUGAAAUUUCAGGUUGAUCCUUUCCCAUUUCUGGUUAGGAAGGAACUAAAGCUCAGCGACAUUAAUUCCUAGGUUAUGCAUACCAGCAAUAAAACUCAGAUGCACCAAAUUUAUUGUGUGCAUCAAUUAGUCUUGUUACUUUAGUUCCCUCUAGUUCUUAAGCUGGUAGCAAUUUGAGUAAAUCACACAGAGCAUACGUGGAGUUUCUAGUAUGGUUGUCACAAAAAAAGGUGAAAAUCUUGCCUUUGGGGUUACCUUUUUUCAACUUAUGUUAGCCACUAUUGAUGCUAUAGAAACCUUUAGAACCUAUGCUGCAGGUUUGUUAAAUUGUUAUAAAACUUAAUUAUUUAUAGGGUUUGAUGACUUUGGGUUUUAUUUAUUUUUAGAAUUUAUUGUUUGUUGUUCUUUUUCCUUCCUGAUGUUUUGUGUAUUUUUCCGUUGUCACAUAAUUUUGUCGUGCUGCUAUACAUGUAUUAUUUGUUAUCUGUACUUUCCGUCUGUUACAUCUUCACAGCAUACAGUAAAUUACACACACAUGUAGAGAUGCACUGACCAAACCAUGUAGAAGAUUCAUGUUUCCAAUAACAGUUACUAGGUUGGAUAUGAUUUUAGGGCAAAUUAGAGUUCCGUUGAUGGAAGUUCAUUGCUUGUGUUUCUUUAGAUGGAGUUGACAAUACGAAGUAAAAUGCUAUUUCAAUGUUUUAACUGGAUUAUUGCAAAUGUAAACUUUCUGUUUUUCUUCUCUUUUCUUUUUCUCCUAUGGGAAUUGGAUAAAUAUAGGUAGCUAGCUACACAGAAUAAAAGGUUUGCGUUUCUCGGAUUAUGAGUUAGGCAACCUCGAAAUAGAAGGGUUGUUUAAUCAUUUGCAUCCAGAAAUUUCCAUCCUAAUAAUGGUGUAUAGAAGUUCUAAUUAUAUGUUUAAUUAGAAACCCUGUGAAAACAUAAUAAACGUGGAUAGUGGAUAUGCCCUAUAUGUUUCGUUUUUGUAACUUUAAGGUUUAGGACUGCAGUUUAUAUUUGCUUCUGGUUUCUUGAAUCUCUCUCGCCUUCAGAAUUGGAUUUUUUUGGCCCAUAAAUCUACUUACAGGAGACCAAGUUGUCACCAGGCAUAAAAAGACGAAUAACGAACCAUACUAAUCAAUGUUCUGCAGUGAUCGAUCACCCCCCAAAAAAAUAAAAAAUAAAAAUAAAAAAGGAAGGAAUGGGCCAAGGGGAAUUGAAAGUGAGGACACGCGGCCAAGUCCAGGGUCGAGGCAAUUAAGCAAACCAGUCCAGUCCACUAACUCUAUAAAUUCUAAAUUAUAAUACAAAAGGAAACGACAUCGUAUGAAGAAGAAAACCUUCUUAUCUUAAAAGGCGCCUGAUCUCGCAAAUGAUAAAACCUUAACCCUCGGGCCCUCAGAGUCCCAAACGCGAGUGAGAGCAGAUCUGAGAAAAUGAGAGAUGUGAAACACAGAGAAGGUCUGGAAACCCUAACAAUGGCAUUGUCUCUGUGAUCGGAGCCUUCGCUGUAGAUCAGAGACAUGAGCGUGAAGAAAGAGAGAGACGACGAGGCAUGAAGAAAAGCUCCUCCAAUGCGAUUCUUGUUUUGCGAGAUUUAACGCCUCGAUGACCGCCAUUGAUCCACGAUCGGAUCCGUUCAAGAGCUCACCGUUGAAAUCGCGUAGUAAUUAACACCAAGACCAGAGAUCUGAUGGGGCUAGGUAUGGGAUUUCCAGGACCCGUCAAAGUUGAUUUUGAAAUUUAGGGUUUACUGAGAUCAUUGUUUUUUAUUUGAUAGAGCGACAUGCCUGAGGAAUUAAUUAGUAGGUCGGUCUUUAAUUCAAUGCAUUAAUGCGUUCGCUGUUUGUUUCCAUUCCAGGUACUCCCUGUCUGCUUGCUCAAGAUGCGAUAGGGUGCGAUGUGGACUGAUAGAGGCACUGACAGCGGGCCUUCCAUAUCUUUAAGGUUUUACUCCUUACUCAUUCAAGCAUGUGGAUGUAUGUUUUUCUUUUGUAAAAUUUCAUUUUUUGUUUUUAAAUGGAAACAAAAUGAACAAAAAUAAGUUUCCAGAGGCAAAUAGCAUAGUAUUGUUGAAAACUUGAACGAUAUAUCUGACAAAAACAAAAUUGACACACAUUAUGGGAGCUCUUUGAAAUAGCAUAUUUUUGUUGAAUGAUGUAUUCUGAUAUGAGUGAGUGGGGGACGGUAUCUCACAUAUGGAAUCAGGAACAUUGUGACAUUACAUCAGUGAUACAUGGUGGCGUGGUGAAUUUAGAAAGUAAUCAUUUGUAGCAAUAUCGGAUGGUCUAAUAACCAUGCAUAAUUAGACUGUUCGGCAACUUGAUGUUCUGACCAAAAGAGAACAUCGGAUGAUGGGGUUUCUCUAACUUUCAAUGUAACAUGAGUUGGAAGACAUUAGAACGUGAAAAAUCACAAAUGGGUUAGUGCAUUAUUCAAAUAUUGUCGCACACAAUGUUCUAGUCAAUGUCAGUAAUCUGAGCUUCUGAACUUUUCAAGUUAGGAUGAGAAUGCAAGGAGUCUCAGAAGUUCUCAGUAUUUGCUUUUGCAUCUAUGCACCCAAGCAAUGUUCAUAGGUUAUUACCAUGGAAAUAAAAUUUGAAGCAGUAAAUUUCGUAGAACUAAAAUUUAUCUGCCCACAUUGUCAAAUAUAUACGGAGGAUAGAUUGGCAGUUAUAAAUUUAGAAGUCUAUUCACUCUCUCUCUGUCUCUGGUGUUCUGUUAUAUUUCCUAGUUGUAGUUGGUACAUAUCAAUCUUAAUUUGAUAUAAUUUCUCAUUGAAGUUGUUUAUCAUUCAUAUUUUGUUAUCUAUUGACAAUACCUUUGGAUUGUGUACAAGCUGGAAGAUAUAAAACAUAUAUAAUUUCUGUUUUAAUUGUUUUCCGUGUAUUGGCAGGUAUUCUUUUUGGUAGUAAAAUGGUGUUUAAAAUGAAGUUAUGAAUGUACAAAUGUAGUAAUAGAGUAUUUUAAAAUGUUUCUUCAGGAUGUUGUGUUCUGGUUUGCGAUCUUUAACAUUCAGUGGUUAUCCCACACCAAACGUUCUUCCUAUGAGUUGCAGCAUCUUGCAUUUUAAACAAAAGAACCUGUUGUUCUAUGUAUUUUUUGUUAUUGACAUAACAAACUGUUCUUCCUAUCAUUCCCACUUGUUGCAUUUUAACUUUAAUUUUUUUAUUCUAUGGUUUUUUUAUAUGCUUUUAUAUUACUACCUUUCAAGUUUGUCCACAUUUUAAAGACAUUAUCGUUCCUGAAAUGCCAGCCUUUUAUUUUGUAGGUAAUUUUUGAGGAUUGAUGUUUCUUCUAGAGACAUGCAAUGAAUUUUUUUGUCAGUUAGUUCGUUAGUGCGACUUUCUUAUGUUUGUUGUGUCGUACACUUGCACAUUCAGUAGUUCUGCUGCGGUUCAACUUAUUAUUUUGCACACUGACCAUCUGGUUUAUUUCAGUGUUUAUUCCAAUUGUUAUUAUUUCUGAUGGUUCUAGUUGUUUAAUUUUGUCUCAACUUUUGAGUCUUGAUAUUAUUUUAUUAAUUGUUUAACUGUUUUUUUUUUCCCCCAGGUUCGCCUCAAAUUUCCCUUUUGUUUUUUUGACUAAUUUGAUCUAAUUUCAAUCAAAACAAGUCUGUAUAAUAUCAAUUCUUUUAUUUGAGUGCUGCGGAUUGUAGUUUUUACUUGGAUAUACUUCCGAC